UGGGGAAUAUUGGACAAUGGGGGAAACCCUGAUCCAGCAAUGCCGCGUGUGUGAAGAAGGCCUUCGGGUUGUAAAGCACUUUGGGCGGGGAAGAAGUUGCGCUGUUUAAGAGAUAGUGUAAUUGACGGUACCCGCAGAACAAGCACCGGCUAACUCUGUGCCAGCAGCCGCGGUAAUACAGAGGGUGCGAGCGUUAAUCGGAGUUACUGGGCGUAAAGGGCGCGCAGGCGGUUGUACAAGUGGGAUGUGAAAUCCCCGGGCUUAACCCGGGAACUGCAUUCCAGACUGUAUGACUGGAGUACUGUAGAGGGUAGUGGAAUUUCCGGUGUAGCGGUGAAAUGCGUAGAGAUCGGAAGGAACACCAGUGGCGAAGGCGGCUACCUGGACAGAUACUGACGCUGAGGCGCGAAAGCGUGGGGAGCAAACAGG
Molecule: ribosomal RNA, 429 nt
Filed under: uncultured bacterium
Lineage: Bacteria
Description: bacterial SSU rRNA
Rfam family: Bacterial small subunit ribosomal RNA
Source: RNAcentral